GGGUGAUGGCCUACCAAGCGACGACGGGUAGCCGGCCUGAGAGGGCGACCGGCCACACUGGGACUGAGACACGGCCCAGACUCCUACGGGAGGCAGCAGUGGGGAAUAUAGCACAAUGGGCGGAAGCCUGAUGCAGCGACGCCGCGUGAGGGAUGACGGCCUUCGGGUUGUAAACCUCUUUCAGCAGGGACGAAGCGCAAGUGACGGUACCUGCAGAAGAAGCGCCGGCCAACUACGUGCCAGCAGCCGCGGUAAGACGUAGGGCGCGAGCGUUGUCCGGAUUUAUUGGGCGUAAAGAGCUCGUAGGCGGCUUGUCGCGUCGACUGUGAAAUCCCGCGGCUCAACUGCGGGUCUGCAGUCGAUACGGGCAGGCUAGAGUUCGGUAGGGGAGACUGGAAUUCCUGGUGUAGCGGUGAAAUGCGCAGAUAUCAGGAGGAACACCGGUGGCGAAGGCGGGUCUCUGGGCAGUAACUGACGCUGAGGAGCGAAAGCGUGGGGAGCGAACAGGAUUAGAUACCCUGGUAGUCCACGCCGUAAACGGUGGGUACU
This 549-nucleotide ribosomal RNA is filed under the name uncultured Actinomycetes bacterium. Its description in RNAcentral is "bacterial SSU rRNA". It matches the Rfam family "Bacterial small subunit ribosomal RNA", at positions 255 to 817 of the family's 1533-position model. The record is from RNAcentral. Lineage: Bacteria; Bacillati; Actinomycetota; Actinomycetes.